Molecule: non-coding RNA, 43 nt
Filed under: Yersinia pestis
Lineage: Bacteria; Pseudomonadati; Pseudomonadota; Gammaproteobacteria; Enterobacterales; Yersiniaceae
Also listed under: 3 other names
Description: nuoG RNA
Rfam family: nuoG RNA
Source: RNAcentral
GAAUUUUUGAUUAACGCCUGCCGUAAGGUGGGUCAUUUGGAAG